GAACUUCGAUGGUUUAGCUGUUAUCGACUAAAUCUUUCGCUUUUUAACAAAAGAUUUUCGUGGAGAGGAACGUUAAGAGUUUCAAAUGAUUUUUUGAUGCCCUGCUUAUGUGGGGCU
Molecule: small nuclear RNA, 117 nt
Organism: Eleginops maclovinus (Patagonian blennie)
Lineage: Eukaryota; Metazoa; Chordata; Actinopteri; Perciformes; Eleginopidae
Product: U5 spliceosomal RNA
Exons: 1
Source: RefSeq, a predicted model, not a curated record